CCCCUUAGUAACGGCGAGUGAAGCGGGGUGAGCUCAAAUUUAAAAUCUGGCUGGUUUACUAGUCCGAAUUGUAGUUUAAAGAAGCGUUUUCGGUGGCAGCCUGGGUAUAAAUCCUUUGGAAUAGGGUAUCAUAGAGGGUGAGAAUCCCGUCUUUGACUCAGUGCAUGCUACUAUGUGAUACGUUUUCAAAGAGUCGAGUUGUUUGGGAAUGCAGCUCAAAAUGGGUGGUAAAUUUCAUCUAAGGCUAAAUAUUGGCGAGAGACCGAUAGCGAACAAGUACCGUGAGGGAAAGAUGAAAAGAACUUUGAAAAGAGAGUUAAACAGUGCGUGAAAUUGUUGAAAGGGAAACGUUUGACACCAGUCAUGCGGGUGGGAAAUCAGUCAAUUGCAGUGGGGAGUGGUGAAGGUUCGGACCGCAAGGCCGGCCUGUGCCUCAUCUCUGCUGUAAGUGAUGCACUUUUCCAUCGGCAGGUCAACAUCAGUUUCUUCUGCUGGACAAAACUCCGAGAGAAGGUAGCAGCUUAGGCUGUGUUAUAGCUCUGGAGCGAUACAGUGGUGGGGACUGAGGUUUUCGCAGUGUGUGCUUUCGGGCAAGGCUGACCGGGUGCUAUGGGAUCGUUCAGUGUACAAUGCAUGCAU
RNAcentral lists this ribosomal RNA (639 nucleotides) under Podila horticola. RNAcentral describes it as "partial large subunit ribosomal RNA". It matches the Rfam family "Eukaryotic large subunit ribosomal RNA", at positions 76 to 614 of the family's 3401-position model. The record is from RNAcentral. Lineage: Eukaryota; Fungi; Mortierellomycota; Mortierellomycetes; Mortierellales; Mortierellaceae.